UGCAGCGAACACACUAGGAGCUUGCUCCGUCCUCUGCUGCUUGGAAAGUCCCCGUGCCUUUGGGUAGAGAGUGCCAGCGGCAGACCGCCAGGCAUCCGUUCCCGUGCAGGCAGUGACUUGCGGUGGAGCUGCAACGUCGGGACUGUUGCGCCAUGGGUGUUCAUUUCAGGGUCACAAACAGAACGGGGGUUUACUCUCAUCAUGCCCUCUACCCCGAGUUCCAUGGAUUGCGGUACUUCCGGGAAACCAGCAGCAGCAGAAAGGCAGCAGCCGUGCACCGAACGCGCUCAUGCAUUUGCGCCAUUUGCCCUGUAUCAAAAACUGCACAGAUGUUGCAGUAGCAUGCAGUUCUUUUGGCAUGAGCUAUUGGAAAUGGCGGAAACCAGUGCCGCUAAAAAAAAAAAACUUGCGGUGGAGCUGCAACGCAGGGACUGUUGCCUAUCGCAGCAGCACAGUUAUGCCAUGGGUGACCAUUUCCAGGUCACAAACAGAACGGGGCUUACUCUCC
Molecule: RNase MRP RNA, 508 nt
Filed under: Symbiodinium sp. Mp
Lineage: Eukaryota; Dinophyceae; Suessiales; Symbiodiniaceae
Description: partial RNase MRP
Rfam family: RNase MRP
About the family: RNase MRP is an enzymatically active ribonucleoprotein with two distinct roles in eukaryotes. In mitochondria it plays a direct role in the initiation of mitochondrial DNA replication. In the nucleus it is involved in precursor rRNA processing, where it cleaves the internal transcribed spacer 1 between 18S and 5.8S rRNAs.
Source: RNAcentral